UGGGGAAUUGUUCGCAAUGGGCGCAAGCCUGACGACGCAACGCCGCGUGGAGGAUGAAGGUCUUCGGAUUGUAAACUCCUGUUGAUCGGGAAGAAUGGACUCCGGUUGAAUACUCCGGGGUAGUGACGGUACCGAUUGAGGAAGCCACGGCUAACUCUGUGCCAGCAGCCGCGGUAAUACAGAGGUGGCAAGCGUUGUUCGGAAUUACUGGGCGUAAAGGGCGCGUAGGCGGCCUGUUAAGUUGGAUGUGAAAGCCCGGGGCUCAACCCCGGAUGCGCAUCCGAGACUGGCAGGCUGGAGUCCGGGAGAGGGCGGCGGAAUUCCCAGUGUAGAGGUGAAAUUCGUAGAUAUUGGGAAGAACACCGGUGGCGAAGGCGGCCGCCUGGCCCGGAACUGACGCUGAGGCGCGAAAGCGUGGGGAGCAAA
RNAcentral lists this ribosomal RNA (426 nucleotides) under uncultured bacterium. RNAcentral's name for it is "bacterial SSU rRNA". It matches the Rfam family "Bacterial small subunit ribosomal RNA", at positions 355 to 772 of the family's 1533-position model. The record is from RNAcentral.